AGUUAGAACCAGACAGCCAAAAAAUAAUACAGAAAAGAAGGAUUACCUAUCCCAUCUCGCCGCCGUUUCUCUGAUUUUGUGUCUUUCUCUCCUCACACACGCCAAUGGAAGAGGCAAACAAUACUCUUGAUCUAAUUGAUAUGGUACUCAUCAUCGCCAUUCGUCAUUUGGUUUAUUUGGGCGUGGAUGUUUCUUGUUUCCCCAUUUGGCUAGUCGCUCUCAAUUUUGUUCCACACAAAAUUGAGAGGAAGAGCAUUCUGAAUAGUCUGAAUCAAGAACCCCCACAAUAUCUCUCGAUUCUUCAAGAAGACUUCAAGCUACAGGACAACUGUUAAAUUUUUCCCUCUUUGAUCCUAAUUGUCGAAUCUGCAACUGUAAGCCACAACCCGCAUCCAAAGACAACAACAUACUGACUCUGUCACUCUAAGAUAUUGGGUUUGGAUAUAUUUGUUUUCCGCUAGGUAUGUAGGAAAGUUGCUUAAAGGACAGACAAUUGAGGUCAUUGGUGGUGGUCGUAUUGGAUCUACUUAUGCCAGAAUGAUGGAAUCUGUGAAGACCAAGCAUCCUUAGCUUCAUUAUGAGUCAAAGUUAUACAUGCUUCUACAAGGAGGGACGAGUAUCACCCAUCUGAAAUGGUUUGGUGUUGAGGGCGAGUACAAUGUUAUGGUUAUUGACCUUUUAGGGCCAAUCGAAAGUUUGCAAUCCUAGAAGACUUGUUCAACUAUUGCAAUCGAAAGUUUUCUUUAAAAAUAGUUUUGAUGCUUGCAGAUCAGUUAAUAAAUAGAGUUCAGUUUAGGGCGCAAAGCUAAUCAGGUGACGCCCGAGUUACAAAAUGUUGGAAAUGGAGGCUACGUUAUAUGAAACCAAUGCAAGUGAUCGAUGGAAAAUAGAAUAUUUUUAUAUGAAGUUUCCUCUACACAUUACGAUUUUCUGCAUUAGUUAUUUGAUUUUUGCAUUUUAUAUUUGCUUCGUGAUUAAUAAUUUUUAAUUUGUAAUUGUAAUUGAAGGUUGAAGCCUUGAAUUUAUGAGAUUGUAUUUGUAAAUUUUAAUUGUUUAGUGACUCAGUAUAAAGUGAAUAUGUCAAUUUGCAUUUUUGCAGCAAAUUGAUUUUUAAUUUAUUAGAUUGUAUUUGUAAAUUGUAAU
Molecule: long non-coding RNA, 1143 nt
Organism: Corylus avellana
Lineage: Eukaryota; Viridiplantae; Streptophyta; Magnoliopsida; Fagales; Betulaceae
Source: RefSeq, a predicted model, not a curated record